GGAAGAGAAAAUAGGAACACCCGGCAAGGUGGCUCCUGCAUCAACAAUAUAAAUGUUGCCAGAGACAUAUUCAGAAGAGUCAUGUACCAAAUAUCGAACUAGCGAUGUCAAUGCUGGAUCUGAAGUGCCAAAUGUUCUUAAAGGGGCAGUUUUCAUAGCCACAUUGUGCAGCCAGUCUUUUUCCAUUAGACGCUCCGUAAUUUCCGAUCUGAAAAGUCCAGGUGAUAUUGCAUUCACUCUGAUUUUGUGUACCCCCAGCUCCAUAGCCAUAGUCUGGUUAACAUAACAAGAUUCAGUAUAGUACCAUAGAAGCUUUCACCUACACUACCAAGUGCAGAGAACUACAGAACAUAUUCCUUAAGAGAAUACUCAUAAUCAAAUAUAGAUAAUGAAACUUAUGAGAGAAGAAGAGAAGAAGAAAAGAAUAAGCAAAGGUAGUGUCGGUGACAUGACAAAGUUGAGGAUAAAAUCUUAAAAUGGCAACUGAUAAACCAGCAGUUAAAAUGUAAAACUUCGUUUGAAGUUAGAUCAUCAAUUCAUAUGUCAUUCCCAGAAAUCCUCCGGUGCAACAAAAAGCAAAAUGUGGUUGAGUGCAAUAACACGUUGGUCAAAACAGUCUGUUGGUUAUACGACAAUAGAGCCGCUCAGACCAUGAGCUUGUGAUAACCACAGCCUUGCGUCAACACACUUUAUUGACAGAUGAUAACAGCACAUGAAGAUGACAAGCAUUUUGGCAAUCAGACUUAGAACUAACGAACUAAAGAGACCAAGAAUCAAAACCGGCUUAUAAUGGGGGUGAUAGAAUUUGGGUCAACGGGCCGAGGGCCCCACUCCAACAACAUUGAUAUUGUCCCCAACUUGGUAAUUACCACCUGUCCAAUCCAUCAGGUGUAGGGUUUUAUCACAAAAGGUCUCGGUACUAGUUAGAGUGGGGGUAAUCAUAUUUAAACUCUUUUCUUUCUUCUUUCUCUCACCUAUGUGGGAUAGCCAACAGGGGCAUAAGAGAAAGUACACAGUAUAGCCCACUAGCAAUAUUCCUCUACUAGACUAAAAAAGAACUGAAAUACUCCUAGGCUGAUUUAAGUCCCUAAGUCUAUCUUUCCCAGGAAACUGUUAUUGGCACUCCAAAAAAGUCAUCUCGUACAAUUUCUGCCUUAUGUUUCCCAGGAGGCAGGCAUCCCUUCAAGUUCUUAUAUUUCAUUUAAAGGCCAAAAGGAACAAAAACAUAAUUCCUUUUCCUUACGCAAUUAAUAUGAUUUUCCUGAUUAGCAUGUUAAAGAUAAUACCUUUGUUAAGGUGUUUACACCAGCCUUUGAACAAUUGUAUGCUGUAGCUCCAGGCAAAUAUCCACGAUUAAGACCAGCAAUGGAAGAUAUAUUGACGAUUGACCCUCCCUGAUCAGCAUCUCGCAUGCGUAUAGCAACAAACUUUGAUACCAACCAGGAACCCGUUAAAUUUGUCCUGAAAACAUGAUUCCAUUCCUCCUCAGACAGGUCCAAUGCAGAACUCACAUUACCUAAGAAACACAGAUGGUAGUAAGCAUUUAUGAUACACCAACACAGACCUAUAGACCAACUAGUUGCGUGUGCCUGUGAGGUCAACAAUUGGUGAUUGGUACAAGACAGGAAUCAGGAUUGGGACUGAGUCUAGUCCAGUCCGAAUCCGAUAGUCCCACCCGCACCCCCUGUGGAGGUAAGAGGUAGAGAGCACAUGAUGAUGUUGUAUACAAUACUUGGGACAGUAGUCCAAUUCAAUAGUCGAGUAUCGUCAUUGUUAAGUUCAUGAACUGAAAGAACAGUCAAAUAAGUAAUUUGCAUUACCAAACAUAUAAUUGUAAAACAAAGGUAUAUUUGUUAAUUCCCCCCUCCCCUAACUAACUUGUAUAGAGCUGCAAAUUUCUUCCUCAACUUUAAUUUUUGACAAUUACCCUCCUGAAAUUCUCUAAUUAGCCAAUUUUCUCUUUGAAUUUUAAUGCCAAUUAGCCCAUGAACUUUUAUAAAUAGUCAAUUUCUCUAGAUUUUAAAAAAUUCUCAUCCAAUUUUUCAUCUAUUUUGAUCACGUGUAGAAGACGUGACAACUCUAUGAGAGCAAAAAGAAUGGAAAACUAACAACAACAACAACAACAAAAUUUUUUCCCACUAAGUGAGGUCGGCUAUAUAAAUCCUAGAACGUCAUUGCGCUGGGUUCUAUGUCAUGUACUCCAUUAGAUCCAAGUACUCUAAGUCUUUUCUUAGGUCUCUUCCAAAGUUUUCCUAGAUCUUCCUCUACCCCUCAGCUAGAUGAAUGAAAAUUUUAAAAUCUAACCCUAAGCGAAAUUGGCUAUUUAUAAAAUUAGAAAGGGCUAAAGUUAAAUUCAGAAAGAAAUUUGCUAAUUACAAAAGCUUAAGAAGUAAUCAGGAAUAAAUUUGAGGACAAUCCGACAAAUACCUCUAAAACAAAUAAUAUAAAAGGCAGAAAGCCAGCCAAACCAACCUCUACCGGCAUUGUUAACAAGGGCAUCGAUGAGCCCAAACGCGUCCCAAGCCUUGUUCACAGACUUCUCGAUAGCUGGGCCAUCGGCGCUGACAUCCAGCUCCACGGCCACAGCCCUCGGGCCUCCACCAGUCCCACUAUCAGCAACAGAAGAUGAUGAAGAAGGAGCGGUGAUGGAGAGCUGGUUGAUUUGAUCGCACACGGACUGAAGGCGGUCGAUGCGGCGAGCGGCGGCUACGAUUCUGCAGCCGGCUUUAGCUAAGUCUAAGCACAACUCGCGGCCGAGGCCAGAGGAAGCGCCGGUAACCAUGACGACUUUGCCGUGGAGGUGGCUCCAGGGCUCCAGGUUGUCCGACAAUCGAUGAGGAUUCUCCAUGUUUGAUAAUCUGUACUCAACUAUGAGCUAUGAAUUAUAUAGAACAAGGAAGAAGAGACUUACAUGUGAAUGUGUGAUACUGCGAAAUCUUGACCGUUGGUGGCUUCGAUAUGGACGGUCAUGAUUUGGGGUGAUAUAUUUGUAGUUGCUGGACGAAAGCAUGUUUGGUGAGGUAGUCGGCUUGACUUGACCCACUUCGAUUAUAGGAACGGAAAGAGAUGAUAUAUUUGCAGUUGCUGGACAAAAGCACGUUUGGUGGGGUAGUCGGCUUGACUUACCCACUUUGAUGAUAGAAACUGAAAGAGAUCCGUCCGGAUCUCUUUCGCCAAGCUUACCAGAUCAAGUGAUCCAAAAUUUUGAAUUUUCAUCUAAUAGUAAAAAAUUAUUAUAGUUUUUAAGGGAUCAAAAUAGGUGGAUCGUUGAGAAAAAUAAUAUUGGAUGAGAUUAUUCAAAACCCUAUAAUAUAGAAGUUGGCCUCAUCAUCUAGUCCUUCUUGUACGUCGGAUUAUAUUGUCAUUCCUUUUACGGGGCAAGAGAUUUGACAUUUAUGGAUUAAUCAACUACGCUUCUAAACUAGGUUGGACAAACACUCCGAAACCCAAAGCGUCGGAGUGUCGAACAUUCUGACACGCCGACGCGCCUCCAACACAAGUUGAACAUGGUCAAGACACUGGUCAAGGGGCAGGGGCAUUUUUAUAAAUUGAAAAAUAUUUUGAGUCAGUUUUGAAAACAUAAAAACAUUGAAAGAUUUGGGGCAAUUUGGAAAUACAAAAACUAAAGCCUAAAGCCAACCCGUCCUAACCCAACUUCAAUCUCUUAUAUGCGCCUCCUUUCACUUCUCUUCUUCCUCUCUUCGCAACCGAUGCAGCCUCUUCUCUACGGCCUCCACUCCAGUUGCAUUCUAUUUUAGUUGGUUGUUUAAUUUGUUAUUGAGCAUAAAUAUAUAUCUCUUCUUGUUUUUUUUUUUAAAGGGAACAAUUAGUGACAAGUCACGGUUAUACACGUCUUUCGGGAGCCGAAAAGACUCACAUAGUCAUUUCAGCUUCUUCUUGUUUUAAUUAUUAUACUUGUUUUGUUUUAAUUAUUAUACUUGUAUUGUUUUAAUUAUUAUGUUUUGUGUUAUUUUAGUUAUUAUGUAUAAUGAAUGAAUUUGAUAAACACGAUUAUUUUGUUAUAUUAUAAUCCACUAUUAUUUUUAAUAUAUGCAAUAUUUACUAUAAAUUUAGGGGUGUGAUAUCUACACAUCCCUUUUUACUUUUCCCACACAUUUUUUGUUUUCUGUCAUCGGAUGUGAUAAUUGAAGAAAAUCAACGGACAUAAAUUAAUAAGGAGUGUGUGAGAAGUAAAAAGGGGUGUGCCACACACCCCUAAAUUUAUUAUAUUUUAAACAAUGUGUCCAUGUCCUAUUUUUUAAGAUUUGCCAUGUUCCUGUCGCAGUGUCGUUGUAUCCGUGUCCAUAUCCGUGCAACCUUGUAAUAGUGUAGGAUAACUAUUUUGGAGUGGGAAAUGUUUUGCCACUUUAUCCCUUUCAAACUUAAACUUGAAUUUUAACCAUUGCUUGUUAUUGACUAACAUUUUGGGAAUUCCAACUGGAUCAUCAGCUUCUAGACUCUGUAAGCCUCCACCUCCCCAAAGGAAGAAAUGGCAAACAAGUGAGUUCGAGUAUGUAGUGCAGCUACAUCAACACUUGAGCACAACAAACGUUACAUAAGAUCAACCUUUCCACCGUACGUCAGCUACAUCAUGCCUGCCUCUUUUCUUUCUUCAAACAUUGAUUCAUCGUAUCCUUACUUCUUGUGGCCAGUCGACGGGAUUUGGAAAUAUAGCAUGCUUAGUUUGCGUCAAUUUCAAUAGAGAUUCAACACAAUCCAAUCCAUCAUGUUAAAUUCAGAUAAUUUGGACCCCAAAUAGAAUUAUAACUAAAGGAAAUCUGAAGGCAAAGGUAUAGCAGGUUGAUGAAUUGUAUAAGCUCAACUCAAUGUCGAGUGAGUAUUCAUUCACUUCUUUAUAUAGAGUUACAAAAGAUAAGGUUGUUACACUUGAUAAACAUUUGAAUCAGAAAAAUAAAUACAAACAGGUUGAAUCAGAUACAAACUGACACGCCCCGACCCUGAUAUUCCCCGAAUACCAGGACCGACACGUGCUGGCCGACACCCGGGGGUGACGAAAGCCAUUAAUUGAUACAAAAGCUAAGAAUAAGAAAUAAAUACAGGUUAUGAAUUUAAAAACAAUGAAUUAACAAUUUAGGAACGUGUUCAGAGCAUACAACUAAACCUAGUCACUAACAAGAAUUAAGAUAAGAUUAAAUGAACAAAGGAGUGGGUCCUACCCCGAGAGGACUCGAAGAUGCCGCUGCGGAAGUACCUUAAUGCCAGGAUUCUAUGCCUCGUUUCUAAGACCUGAAUGGGGGCGCAAAACAAGGGUGAGUGGACCAAGUUUAUAUACAUACAUAGUACGAAAACAGUUAUGAACAUACUAACCCCCACAGUUUAAUAAUGAAAACUACUAGAAUAAUAAGUGAUAAGCUUUUCAGAAACCUUUAGCAUGCCAUAAAACAAUUCAUAUAUCCAUCUGCAAAUCAAUCUCAGAAAAUCAUAUCAGAAAUUAUCUCAGCAAUCAUGUCAGGAAGCAUAACACAAGUUGUGCUGCUAGUGAGUGCACUGAAUAACAAUACUCCCGGCCCAAUGCCUGCACCUCAGUCUCUGUGCCCGUAGCCAGAGAUAUCUCCCUCCCGGCCCAAUGCCUGUCUCCGUGUCCCUCAGCCUUUCGCUAGGGAUUAUUUCUCCCGGCCCCAAUGCCAACACCAGAUCCUCGCCCCAGGCGGCAUAGUGUUCACUAGGUACGCACAAAACAUAAUUCAUCUCUAAAAUACAACUUCGUAGCAUAAAUUCAUCGAUCCUCUAUACUACGAAGAGGUGUUCGAAAGUCAUUUGAAACACAUUCUUAGCAUCCUAUCGUCAUCGAUCAGAUAGUCUACUAGAAUGAGGGUUCUAUAGAAAAUACAAUAUAAUGAAAAUAAUUCAAAACAUAUAUAUAAUCACGUAUAAUCAAAUCAUCAUGCUUCCUGUAAAGUAUUUCUCAAAUCAAUAAUUCUGCAAGGCAUGCUAUUAAAUUAUGCAUUUCUAUCAAUAAAACAUGCAAUUUUCGAAGGUGGUCCACUCACAGAUACUCCGAAGCAGCAGAAUUGUGUGCAAAAAGAUUAAGGAAGUCUCCACUAGCAACUUCACCUAAGCACGAAAAUGUACAAUUUAAUAAACUACCCAAAAGAUAGAAUUUUAGGAAAUGGAAAUGGGUUUUGGGUUUGGGUAGGUUAGGAACAAGAGGGAGUUUUAGGCUUAAGCCUAAACCCACCCUUAUACACACACGGCACACACACCACACAUUCACACACAUACCUACACCACACAUACUCCCAGAGCUGCACCGCACAACGCACACACUGUACACUUCAUAUAGUACACAAACAUACACAACACACACGUGCACCAUACACCAACAUGCCAAACACACCCACAGACAGCAUGCACAUAUAUAUAUAUAUAUAUAUAUAUACAAAUAUACACACAGAGGCAACAUGCAUAUAUAUAUAUAUAUAGAUACAUACAUAUAAACACACACGCAUGCACAGCAUGCAUAUAUAUAUAUAAGCACACACACGCACAGCAAGCAUACUUACACACACACACACACACGGUUCACGCACACACACUUGCACAACGUACACACUGCACAAACACACACUCACGAACUCGCCGGAGUUCGUCGUCGGAACCGGACAUGCAUGCACAAGGGAUGGUAAGAGUUAGGGCUUGAAUAAGGGGUUCUAAAACUUCACAAAUAUACCUAAGAACUCACCUGGACGCACUGCAGCAGGUUUUGGGAAGAGAUGGACCUCGAACUCGUCGGAGUUCGUCGUCGGAGCUAGAUUAUUAGCACAGAGAAAAACUGAGAUCAAAACCCUUGAGUUUUGUCAUAAACUCAUCAUGCACAACCCAGAAAUUUGAAGAAGGAACACAAUCCUCACCUGGGUUCGCGUGUUAGAGCUUUGAAGCUCUCGGCUUCAAUGGCAGAAAAGUCCACAGUGCUCUGAUGGCGCAUGCAAGGGUAUCGUUGAGUUCGUUAAGUCUCAAGGAUCCCAAAUAUAUGGUUUUGGGGUUUGAUUUGUGAGGGAAGUGAGGUGAAAGCUAGAGAGAAGCUCUCGGAGCUUAGAGAGUGUGAGAAAGAGAGAGAAGAAACCGAAAGAAAGAGAGCACUGAGAUUCUCAGAUGUGUUUCGGGCAGAGAUGAAAGGAAAGAGGGAUCUGAGAGCUGCCACAUGGCAGUUUAAGAUCAAUAGCCUUUCUAGAUCAAGGGUUAGGAUUAAAAGAGAAUAAGGGACUAAAUUGAUAGAUAACAAAUAUGUUCUAGGGGAAAAUAGAAAUAGAAUGAAAAAUGGGGGUGGGGUAUAACACAAACAUAUUUGAGAGAGUUGUGCGGAUAAUGGACUGUGUUGUUAUGAUCCUUUCUGUUGCAGAUUGCAGCGGGAAGGUUGUGGUUGAAUUGGUGGUGCUGACUUGGACCUUUCUUUAGGGUUUGGAGAUUUAUCUGAACUAGGUUUGUCAAUAACCACCUUUUAAAUUUGCUAUAAUUAUAACCAAAAAUUGAUAUAGAAGUUAACAUUAAGGGGGCGUUUGUUGUACCGGACUGUCUUAGACUGGACUAGCUUCAAGGACUAAGCUGGACUGGCUUAGACUAGACUAAGCUGGAUUAACUUAGUGAAGCGUUUGGUGCAGUGUCGGACUAAAAAACAGGAUAAUUAACAAAACUGAAAAAUUAUAUUAUUUUAAAGCAUAUCUAGAAUAUUUUAUAUUAAUUCUUCCUCUCUCUUUUUUUCUUCUAGAAACCCUUUUUCUAGAAUGCUCCAUCUUCUCUGCCUCACCACUCCCCCUUUUUUCUCCAUCCGUCUCAAUCCUCUCUGCCUAUUGAUUGUUUCCUUCAGCCAUCUAUUGCUUUCAUGGAAUCCCGUUUCCAAAAAAAUCAACCAAUGAAACACCUUUCAAAAUCCCAUCUCCUUUCAUGCAAUUCCCCAGUUCUUACUAAUUACCAUUCCAUUUUCUUUUGUUUUCUCUUUCAAUUUUCUAGCCAACCAAACACCUUUCAAAAUCCCUAAUUCCAAAUAAUUGCUCACCUUGUCUGGCGUACCAGAUUCAGAUUAUGGUCCACUGAAAACAAGAGUCAAAAAUUGAAUUCCCACAACAGAACGUGACUGGUGGGGAAAGAAUCAACGGAAGCAGGGUGGUUGGUAAGUGAAAAUUAAGGGUGUUUCUAGGAGAGAGCGAUGUAUGUAUGUGUGCGAUCUGAGAUACCAAAAGACCCAGAUCGUGGAAGACCCCAAAUCACCGAACCCAGAUGAAAAAAAUCCUUAUUUUCGAGGAUUGAGAUCUUGUAAGUUGGAAUGAUGCACAAGGUUUGGAUGAGGAAGAAGAUGAAAAUGGUUGUGGGAGCGAAGAAGAAGAAGCAGGGGCGAAACGAAAGAGGCUGAGCGGAGAUGGUCUUAGCGAGCCCCGUGGUUUGUGGAGGGUCUCGCUAAGAACUUCUAGUGAGGCUUCUAAUCCACGCGAGUCCCCUUUAGUCCCAUUUAACUUAGUCCCAAUACAAACCAAACAUAGGACUGUAGUCCAGUCUAGUCCAGUCCUAGUUAAUGAGGCCAAACAAACGCCCCCUAAAGGUCUUCUGCAAGAACCAACAAGCAAAAUUAAAACGAACAUCGGGUGUCUACAUCUUAGUGACACUUAUAAGCUUCUUGUUGUUAGUAAAGGAAGGCAUUUUUCUGGUGUGGUUGCAGAAAAAUGGAUUGGGAAGGACUCUUCGAAAGUUGGGGAAGAUUUGAAGGUCUUGCUGUCACAGUCUGCUACUCGAGGGCUUGAGCAAUCACCAAGCGCUUUGUAUGAGGGGUUGGAGGAAGAAAGAAAUGCUUCUACAAUCGCUUCAGAUCAAACAAUGGCCAUGAUUACAAAACUGCAAGAGAAGAAGGCAGUCCUGUUGUGCCUUGGCCCGUUCAUUAGUGCGGAAACGAGAUUCAGAUUACAACCACACCUAAAAUCACACCCAGUUAAACAGAAUAAAAUACAAGAAAUAAAGACAACGAGAAAUUUACGAGGUUCGGCAAAAACCUGCCUACGUCCUCAGAGAGAUAUUGCUCUUCACUAUGAGAAAAACAGUACAAGUUACACAUAAGUUAAAUCGACAUAACCCAAUCCCAUAUCCCUUGUACACCCACUCACAGAAUUUUCCCAAGAGCCUCACUCUACCCCAAGAGUUCUUUCACUAGAGACCUUUCACUCUAGCUCUCUUGAUUUUUCUCACCCGUGCCCAUACUUUCCCAUGGGAGAGCCGAAUGCUCUCCCCCUUGGAUGCUCUCUCAUGCCCUCUCAAGAGAGAGCCGAAUGCUCUCUCUCUCUCUCUCCUUCUCCACUUCGGCUCCUUGCAAUUAAAUGGACAGAAAAGUGAGUUAACUUCUCCUUUUUUUCAUAGACACAAUGAUGAUCCAUCAUGCUCCCUUUUCUCAAAACCCAAAACCACUUUCGGCAUGCAAAUGGGAAAUGAAUAAAAAAUGCCAAAACAAAAGGAAUCCCAUGAAACAUCAUCAUUGUCUUCCACUAUUAGCCAAAAUGAGAUAUGGACAUAUUUGGCCACUAUUCCGAAAGCAUAACACACAAAGUCACUUAAUUGUUAACAGCUCAAAAUAUGAGCCAAUCACAACAAUCUCCACCUUGGCGAAUACACCAUGCAAAAAUCCUUGCACCCAUCACCAAAGUCCAUUGGCCUUACGUACCAGCAUGCACACUCUGAAUCCACCUCAUUGGUCCUGUUCCGAUUCAGUCACUGCCAAUGCAUGUGAAGCUGCUGCAAGCUAAAAAUCACAAUUUAGCUUCAGACAGGAUCUCGACACAUCCUCGUCUCCUCCAACAGUUUUUUUUUCCCCUUCUUUAUUGUCUGCAACUUGGAAACUCGUCAGUGCACCCGUUUCCAGCAACAACCCAUCGAGCCAGACAAAAUUCCCCACACUUCUCUUCCUUCAGGACCAUCUCAUCACCUGUGAAUCCCUUAGCUCCACCUGCUGCAAAUCCCUUGCAACACUCGAGACUAAACAUCACCAAGAGAAGUGUUGCUUCGAGUACCUAGAGGGCAUACUCGAAGUCUUCCACCACAAACUUGCUACAACUCGGUCUAGCACCUGUAGCACUGUGGACCCUUGCCUCCGGAACCGGAUCUGAACCUGCUGUCUCUCUCAGAUCCUCUUUCCAAUUUUCUUCCACGAUUCCAACCUUUAAUAACUUAAGGAGUCUUGUGCCCACCAUUAUCCAUGGUCUCCUUUGUGUAUCAUUCCACACCAAAGAAGCUUGCACCUGCUCCAAACUUACUGUAACUUUCCAUGCAGUAAAGUUUCACAAGGUUAUAAGACAAAUCUGAAAGUGAGGUAAGAAGAAAGAGGCCUUUGUCUUCUUCCUCAACAUCAACUUUCGUAGUUGAUCUAAGCAUCCCUGAACACGGCUUCCAUUUCUUCAGGCUUCCAUUACUCUCCAUUACCAAGAGUAAAAUUGCCUCUCCCUUUAAACUGCUCAACUGAAAAUUCCAUGGUGAACAACAAAUCUGGACCUCCAACGAACCAAGCUUCCAACGAGCUCUGAUACCAAUUGUUGUGCCUUGGCCCGUUCAUUAGUGCGGAAACGAGAUUCAGAUUACAACCACACCUAAAAUCACACCCAGUUAAACAGAAUAAAAUACAAGAAAUAAAGACAACGAGAAAUUUACGAGGUUCGGCAAAAACCUGCCUACGUCCUCAGAGAGAUAUUGCUCUUCACUAUGAGAAAAACAGUACAAGUUACACAUAAGUUAAAUCGACAUAACCCAAUCCCAUAUCCCUUGUACACCCACUCACAGAAUUUUCCCAAGAGCCUCACUCUACCCCAAGAGUUCUUUCACUAGAGACCUUUCACUCUAGCUCUCUUGAUUUUUCUCACCCGUGCCCAUACUUUCCCAUGGGAGAGCCGAAUGCUCUCCCCCUUGGAUGCUCUCUCAUGCCCUCUCAAGAGAGAGCCGAAUGCUCUCUCUCUCUCUCUCCUUCUCCACUUCGGCUCCUUGCAAUUAAAUGGACAGAAAAGUGAGUUAACUUCUCCUUUUUUUCAUAGACACAAUGAUGAUCCAUCAUGCUCCCUUUUCUCAAAACCCAAAACCACUUUCGGCAUGCAAAUGGGAAAUGAAUAAAAAAUGCCAAAACAAAAGGAAUCCCAUGAAACAUCAUCAUUGUCUUCCACUAUUAGCCAAAAUGAGAUAUGGACAUAUUUGGCCACUAUUCCGAAAGCAUAACACACAAAGUCACUUAAUUGUUAACAGCUCAAAAUAUGAGCCAAUCACAACAAGUCCUCCAUAUGGAAGCACUCCAGCAACUAAGAAUGAUGGAAGAGCAAGCUGAGUACGAUAAUGAAGCGCUGCAAAAGACAGACAACUUCUUGUCGAGAAGGAGAAGGAAAUACAAGAUUUAGAAGCAGAGCAGAAGGCACUCCAUGCAUACUGAGAGUUUCUUGAACACACGAUUAACCCGAUUCUCAUUUCUCUUCAAUAUUUAGCAUACCCUAGACAGAAUUGCACCGUUACAGUUUGAAGUUUGCUUUCUAAGUAUUCUUCUCUCUAACAUUUGCUGAAAUUGGUAUUCUGUCAAGUUUUCUGUUUUGAUAUCAAUUGUGAAGAAUGAAAUUCCAAAACAUUUUAUCAUACUUGCUUAGGCUAUGUGUUCCUCAACAAGCAUGCAAGCCAAGCUAAGGUAAGCUACCAAUGUUAUGUGAGACCUACUUCAUACAAGACAACGAGAUGACAGCAAGAGGAGAAUGCACGAGAGAAAAACUUGAAACCGAAAACAACUUCAAAUGUUUUUCGAUUUUGAUUUCUAGUUCUCAUGCACUGUACCAUUUUGUCGUAUACAUUUCUUCCACCAUCCUUCCUCCACUCAUCUUCAUACUUCAUUUUUUAUUUUUGUCUUCAAGUAGGCAUUCUACGGCUAAUGUGUUGGAAAAAGUUAUGAAAAUUUGCUAUAUAUUUUAUUAUAAAUUAUUAAAUAAUACACAAUAAAAUCUCUAUAAAUGCAAGAAGAACAAGGAAUGGAAGAACCUUAAGAGAUUGAGGGUAGAAUUUGAUUCUAUAACCUUAAGACAAGAUUGCCCCUCAGUGGUGCCUCAAGGUUUGCGUUGGCAAAUGUCUCUCAGGAUACAAUGAUCUUUCUCUUUGCGGAAGUAGCACUCGAAUCCACAAAGAACAGCGAACCAAAAGUGUUUAAAACUCUCUCUUUGUUGAACACUAAACUACUCUAAUUUCUAUAUGAUUUCUGAAUGCAAAGCAUAUUUAAAAUGCUUGACUUGGUGGUCUAUUUAUAGGCUUUGGCAUGCCCCUUUUCCAAAGGUUGUAUCUGCUUCCAAAAGGCAAAGGACGCAACCCUUAUUCAAGAUUACAUCUGCAACCGAAACACAAGGGUUGCGUUUGAUUUCUCAUAAGACAAAGAUGCAACCUUUUCCAAAGUUGCAUCUGUUUUCAAACUGACAAAGGUUGUGACCUUUGUUCAAACAUGCAUAACCCUUGAAAACUGCCGGUCAAACCCAUCCAUGACUAUUUUAAUUUCCAUUUUAAUUUCCAUUCACUUGAACAUUAAAAUUUAAAUAUUAAUAAUACUAAUAUUUAAAUAUUAAAUUUCUAACAUAAUGAAGAAAAAACUGUAAACAGUAAACUAAAAAAUGCACAUAGAAACCUAAUAGUAAGCCAACAAAAAUGAAUUCAGCCGUACAUUCUAUUAUUCUUGAAUCUUCAACUUGCCAGGGGUGGUACAAUAUAUAUUUGUUGUACGUUUGUUUAUUUCUCUACUCUUUUUUGUUCCACAUGAAAAUAAAUCUACAUGAAAAUUCAGAGGGAAGAGAAAAUAGGAACACCCGGCAAGGAGGUUCCUGCAUCAACAAUAUAAAUGUUGCCAGAGACAUAUUCAGAAGAGUCAUGUACCAAAUAUCGAACUAGCGAUGUCAAUGCUGGAUCUGAAGUGCCAAAUGUUCUUAAAGGGACAAUUUUCAUAGCCAC
Molecule: long non-coding RNA, 12945 nt
Filed under: Malus domestica (apple)
Lineage: Eukaryota; Viridiplantae; Streptophyta; Magnoliopsida; Rosales; Rosaceae
Description: long non-coding RNA (MDOM_LNC015906)
Source: RNAcentral